GAUGAACGCUGGCGGCGUGCCUAAUACACGCAAGUCGAGCGAACAGAUGAGAAGCUUGCUUCUCUGAUGUUAGCGGCGGACGGGUGAGUAACACGUGGGUAACCUACCUAUAAGACUGGGAUAACUCCGGGAAACCGGGGCUAAUACCGGAUAAUAUUUUGAACCGCAUGGUUCAAUAGUGAAAGACGGUUUCGGCUGUCACUUAUAGAUGGACCCGCGCCGUAUUAGCUAGUUGGUAAGGUAACGGCUUACCAAGGCGACGAUACGUAGCCGACCUGAGAGGGUGAGCGGCCACACGAGAACUGAGACACGGUCCAGACUCCUACGGGAGGCAGCAGUAGGGAAUCUUCCGCAAUGGGCGAAAGCCUGACGGAGCAACGCCGCGUGAGUGAUGAAGGUCUUCGGAUCGUAAAACUCUGUUGUUAGGGAGGAACAAAUUUGUUAGUAACUGAACAAGUCUUGACGGUACCUAACCAGAAAGCCACGGCUAACUACGUGCCAGCCGCCGCAGUAA
RNAcentral lists this ribosomal RNA (514 nucleotides) under uncultured bacterium. Its description in RNAcentral is "partial 16S ribosomal RNA". It matches the Rfam family "Bacterial small subunit ribosomal RNA", at positions 28 to 523 of the family's 1533-position model. The record is from RNAcentral.